Drosophila subobscura is the source of this 262-nucleotide long non-coding RNA. RefSeq lists it as uncharacterized. Lineage: Eukaryota; Metazoa; Arthropoda; Insecta; Diptera; Drosophilidae. The transcript is spliced from 2 exons. The record is from RefSeq and is a predicted model, not a curated record.
GUGUGCUCCACUCAGUUGAGGUUGGUUUCUCAUUCGGCGUGGUCGCAUUCUGUUCUAUCCGCAGCGCGUCAUAGUCAGAGUACUCUAUUUCAUCCGCGUCAGUGGCAGAGUCUCUGUUGGUGUGUCAGUGUCAGUGUGUGGCAAAAGUCCCAGAAAAAAGCAGCCAAAAUUAGGCUUUUCAAAAAUGGAUAAGCGAAAUAUGAAAAUGUAUGUAAAUGCCGACGCAGCAAAUGAACGCAUUAAAAUGAAUCAUAAUUGAGAG